UGCAUGGGAGAUGCUGAGGGCCGUGUGAUGCGGCAGCUUGGUGAGAUGCCGUUGUGGCGUGAAGCUGCGGUGGUGCAUGCAUGUACUGGGAUAUUAUCUAGUUAGUUAGUGCAUGGUUGGUUGAGGUAUGGCCGAGUGAUUUGGUCAAGUUAAUUAGUAUGUGUAUGUAGCAGAUGGAGGUUGCAUGCAGCUGUAAUAGUGGAGUAGUUGGACACGUCCUAAACGUGAGCAUAGGAAACGGAUCAUGGAGUUGGCUCCUGGCCGCGCUAGCUGAUGUAUAUAAGUAUUGCAUUGAUUGAAUGAAACGGAGGCCGUGAGGGCUGAGGGAAAAAAGAUGUAGCAUAUGUGUGUCUCACCGGGAGAACAAAGCAAAGCUGGUUCCUCCCACGGUGAGGUGUGUGUGUGUGUAGAGUUUCAUGUGUAUGUGUGUGUUCUUGUGUUCUUGAGAGAAGAAGAUAGAGAGAAACCACAAGAGAGUUUUGUGAGGGAGCUCGAGGUAGAAGAAGAAGCGGCGCUGCGAGGAGGCGGCGCCAACAUUUGGUAUCAGAGCCUCGUCGAUCCGCAGCGGUGGCGACGGCGACGGCAGCACGGCUGACUCGUGGAGGACGAGGUGGAGGUCGCGCGAGGUGGAGGUCGGCGGCGGCGCGAUGCCGUUGGUGGCCUGCUGCGGUGCGACGCUACCACAACGACGGUGUGAUGCCGUUACAAGGAGAAGACUGGAUGGCGGCGUGAUGCCGCUGUCAUCCGGUUGCGGCGCGAGGCCGUUAGGACAAGGAGACGGCGUGGUGAUGGGAGAUGUCUUCCACGUCAAGAGGUGGCUGCGGCGUUCGGCAAGAUGGCAUGAUGGCGCGUGCGUACGUCAGGGCGGAUGUUCAUGGGGCACCGGCGGGAGGCUAGGUGCUGCAUCAUGCGUCCAGGAACACGACGAUUGACAGCUGUGCGUCCAUGGUGAAGUUGGCUGCUGCUGGCAUGUGUCGUGCUCGCCGAAGGCAAGGUGCGACGAUGACCCAGUGAUGAGGAUAGCAGUGGUGGUGCAUCAACGGCAAGCUCCAUGAGAUAUGGAGGUCACAGUGGCGGUAGAAUCCAUGAGAUGUGGAGGCCGCAGGUGGUGGCAGACUUCGUGAGAUGCGGAGGCCGGUGUAGGUGGCCAUGGCUACCAUCGCAGGAGGGUUCGUGUGCUUAUGGCGAACACAAGUGCAGCGGCAAGGUUUUCGUGGUGACAUGCGGCGGCACUGGAAGGAAUGCGUCGUCCACGGCAAGGUGAUGUUGUGGCAAGAGGAUGUAGGUGAUCUGCAUAAAAAAUUAGAGGAGUUGACAUGGCAAGAUUAGGGGGUUGAAUGUUAGUUUUAAUCUUGUCAUGGUCAUGUAUCUGCAUGGGAGAUGCUGAGGGCCGUGUGAUGCGGCAGCUUGGUGAGAUGCCGUUGUGGCGUGAAGCUGCGGUGGUGCAUGCAUGUACUGGGAUAUUAUCUAGUUAGUUAGUGCAUGGUUGGUUGAGGUAUGGCCGAGUGAUUUGGUCAAGUUAAUUAGUACGUGUAUGUAGCAGAUGGAGGUUGCAUGCAGCUGUAAUAGUGGAGUAGUUGGACACGUCCUAAACGUGAGCAUAGGAAACGGAUCAUGGAGUUGGCUCCUGGCCGCGCUAGCUGAUGUAUAUAAGUAUUGCAUUGAUUGAAUGAAACGGAGGCCGUGAGGGCUGAGGGAAAAAA
This 1703-nucleotide long non-coding RNA is filed under the name Triticum aestivum (bread wheat). Its description in RNAcentral is "long non-coding RNA (TAES_LNC026056)". Lineage: Eukaryota; Viridiplantae; Streptophyta; Magnoliopsida; Poales; Poaceae. The record is from RNAcentral.